CAGAGAGUAGUUUAAUAAAAAUACUAGUUUUGGGAACUAGCGAUAGGAGUUUACUCUUUUCUCUGA
Molecule: transfer RNA, 66 nt
Filed under: Aristaeomorpha foliacea
Lineage: Eukaryota; Metazoa; Arthropoda; Malacostraca; Decapoda; Aristeidae
Description: tRNA-Pro
Rfam family: tRNA
About the family: Transfer RNA (tRNA) molecules are approximately 80 nucleotides in length. Their secondary structure includes four short double-helical elements and three loops (D, anti-codon, and T loops). Further hydrogen bonds mediate the characteristic L-shaped molecular structure. tRNAs have two regions of fundamental functional importance: the anti-codon, which is responsible for specific mRNA codon recognition, and the 3' end, to which the tRNAs corresponding amino acid is attached (by aminoacyl-tRNA synthetases). tRNAs cope with the degeneracy of the genetic code in two manners: having more than one tRNA (with a specific anti-codon) for a particular amino acid; and 'wobble' base-pairing, i.e. permitting non-standard base-pairing at the 3rd anti-codon position.
Source: RNAcentral